Molecule: small RNA, 531 nt
Filed under: Pongo abelii (Sumatran orangutan)
Lineage: Eukaryota; Metazoa; Chordata; Mammalia; Primates; Hominidae
Description: processed transcript
Source: RNAcentral
GCGGCGGCAGUGUCUGUGGUGGCCGCGGCGGCGAGAGCGACGGUCCCAUCCUUCCCACCCUCUCGGUUGCCGCUGGCCACACGCCCUCCGUUGGCGGCGACUUCUCAGCUCCGUGCGCCCGGGCUGGACAGUGAGCCUCGAGAGGAGACGCGGGCGGCUAGAGCCGGAGUGGGGCGAGCCGCGGAACCCGGCCGGGAGCCGCGCGAGGCGAUUGCCAUCACGAAAGCCAAAGUGGAUUUCUCCAGCGUGGUGUGCCUGCCCCCUUCCGUCAUUGCUGUGAAUGGGCUGGACGGAGGAGGGGCCGGCGAAAAUGAUGAUGAACCGGUGCUUGUGUCCCUAUCUGCGGCACCCAGUCCCCAGAGCGAAGCUGUUGCCAAUGAACUGCAGGAGCUCUCCUUGCAGCCCGAGCUGACCCUAGGCCUCCACCCUGGCAGGAAUCCCAAUUUGCCUCCACUUAGUGAGCGGAAGAAUGUGCUACAGUUGAAACUCCAGCAGCGCCGGACCCGGGAAGAACUGGUGAGCCAAGGGAUC